This is a long non-coding RNA of Ailuropoda melanoleuca (giant panda), 350 nucleotides long. RefSeq lists it as uncharacterized. The transcript is spliced from 3 exons. The record is from RefSeq and is a predicted model, not a curated record. NCBI's taxonomy places the organism in Eukaryota, Metazoa, Chordata, Mammalia, Carnivora, Ursidae.
GAUGCGGGAGGGGAAGUCUAGCUGGCAUGGACUUCUUUGAAGCAUUGAGGGCAGAACUGUUUCUCAGUAAGAAAACUACCACUUGGUAGAGGACUUGUUCAAGUUGAAGAUAAAUCCUGAUUUAAGAUAAAUCUUAAAACUCAGUCAAAGACCUGGAAAUCAACUAUGUAGAAAUCCAAGCUUUUGAAGCAGAUGCAUCAGAGUGUCACCCUCAAGCACUAUGACAAGAGCUAUGACUGGAGAUCCUGGAAAACAUGUAAACUGGAAUGAAUCCUUCUGAACUACCUUGCUCUGCUUCUCAGCUGAAUUCUAAGGACAGCCUUACCAUCUGUUGGCUAUCUACCAUCUGG